Molecule: long non-coding RNA, 993 nt
Organism: Homo sapiens (human)
Lineage: Eukaryota; Metazoa; Chordata; Mammalia; Primates; Hominidae
Gene: BHLHE40-AS1
Product: BHLHE40 antisense RNA 1
Source: Ensembl
AGUGCUGUGUAUGCAGCCAUAUAGUGAAUGCCUUCAUUUGCACCCUGAACUCUGAAUAGUCACUUUUAAAACAUCCAUCUGUCAUCCAUCUAGUGAGGUCAGGAGAGUGGCUGCUUAACUUCUGGGGGUUGCAGAAAAGGAAGAAGAAUCAGCAGAGAGCAUUUGUGGCCAGCAAAGCUUAAAAUAUUUCCUAACCGAUCCUUUGCAAAAAAAGUUCACCCACUCCUGUAGUCAGCAGCUCCCCUACUGUGCGCAGUCAGUGUGCCAUCUCAGACUAGCAAAGUUGUCCAGAGAGGAAAGACAGGCCAAAAUAGUUCAGUAUGCUGUCUUACUGGGAGGACAACAGCUUAAGCCACAAAGCCCUGAGUUUGACCCUAGAACUCUGUGGCUACUGGUGACUCAUCUUGAAAAUUAUCAGAUUGAAUCUUCUCUACCGGUUUGAUAACAACUGAUGAGUGGAAAAAGAACGCCAAUCAAAUGUGCAUGCUUAAUAAGCAGCCUCCUUAUUCCCCUCUGCAGAUUUGUGCUUGGAUCAUCUACACUUCCCUGAAUGUUGAAGAAGAUAUGCUAUCCAUGCAAUCCUUGUCGACUGCUUGAUUAAAAAGUGGAUAAACUGUCUUCAGGCCCUUGGAGUAUGGUGUCUGUGUGAAGAAGGGAAUGAGGCAGAAGUAGCAGUCAGUGGUGGCUGAAGUAGGAGAAAGUGCUUGCUAAUGAAAUCUUGAUUUUUCUGUGGCUUUUCUGUGCAAUUGGGUGGCUAAGUAGGAAAGCCAUUGGAGCUUCACUGUAUCAAUUCUGCCUUUCUUGUUUUUUGGAACUCCAAUUCACCAAGGCUCCCUGCCACCCUAUCCAUCUAUAACUUUUCAUCACUUUUUCCUCAAAGUAAGAAGUGUGUCCCAGAAAAUGUGCCUUUGUGACUCAGCAACAUUUCAAAUCCAUCUGAGCCUUCCCAGCGUUCCAAAAGAAAUACUGAUUUGAAUUCAGCUGCUUAAAAAA